CCACACAGUGUAACGGGAAUAGCAUCGAACAGUUCCCGCCCGGCAACCUCUUUGUCGCAGUCAACGAAGGGUUGUGGGAUAAUGGUGCUGCCUGCGGUCGAAGAUAUAGAUUACGAUGUUUGAGUGGUCGAAAUCGCCCAUGCAAGACUGACAUCAUCGAAGUUCAAGUCGUGAACUUUUGCCCGAAGUCGCCAUGCCCUUCUUCCUUUCUCAUGUCCAAAGAGGCUUUCUCCGCAAUCUCUCGCUUCCCUAAUGCUAAACUCAACGUUGAAUACAUUGAGAUAUAAUAUCACAAGUUUUGCAGCCAUCAAUUUCCAAAGUUGAGUACAGUCUCAAAUUUUGAAACAUAAUUUGCUGUGCAAUAAUAACAACAACAACAGCAUACAUGUACCCACCUUUAGCAAAGCGCUAACCAUAUUAGAUAUUGUUGUCAAAAUGAACUUGCUUCAACUAGCAAUAUAGAUGUAUUAUCAAUCUCGAGAUCAAAAUUUGAAAGAAAACCAUUUGAUUGG
Long non-coding RNA from Cucumis melo (muskmelon), 512 nucleotides. RefSeq lists it as uncharacterized. The transcript is spliced from 2 exons. Lineage: Eukaryota; Viridiplantae; Streptophyta; Magnoliopsida; Cucurbitales; Cucurbitaceae. The record is from RefSeq and is a predicted model, not a curated record.